Acanthopagrus latus (yellowfin seabream) is the source of this 290-nucleotide long non-coding RNA. RefSeq lists it as uncharacterized. The transcript is spliced from 3 exons. The record is from RefSeq and is a predicted model, not a curated record. NCBI's taxonomy places the organism in Eukaryota, Metazoa, Chordata, Actinopteri, Spariformes, Sparidae.
CAAGAGGAGAGCUGUGCAACCAGCCUCGCUCAUAUCCCUGCAGAAGUAGGAUUUCCCCUCAGAAGACACCUGCUUUGCCACUGUAUUUAAUCCACGCUGAGGAAGCGAGCUGGAUUAAAGAAGACAUGCACCACAAGAGAUGCGAUUGGUUACAGACUUGAAUAAACUUUGCUUGCUCUGGAGAGCCUCGAGGGAGGGGAUUGAAGAACCGGUGAUGCGUUGGGCAGAUUCACCACCUUAGGUUGACCGGGAGAGCUGGAAUGGAGAGGUGUAGUACUCCACUACCCUCU